AGAACGAACGCUGGCGGCACGCCUAACACAUGCAAGUCGAGCGCCCAGCAAUGGGAGCGGCGGACGGGUGAGUAACACGUGGGAAUAUGCCUUUCGGUACGGAACAACUCAGGGAAACUUGAGCUAAUGCCGUAUACGCCCUUACGGGGAAAGAUUUAUCGCCGAAAGAUUAGCCCGCGUCUGAUUAGCUAGUUGGUGAGGUAAUGGCUCACCAAGGCUUCGAUCAGUAGCUGGUUUGAGAGAACGACCAGCCACACUGGGACUGAGACACGGCCCAGACUCCUACGGGAGGCAGCAGUGGGGAAUCUUGGACAAUGGGGGAAACCCUGAUCCAGCCAUGCCGCGUGAGUGAUGAAGGCCUUCGGGUUGUAAAACUCUUUCGACGGGACGAUAAUGACGGUACCCGUAGAAGAAGCUCCGGCUAACUUCGUGCCAGCAGCCGC
This 443-nucleotide ribosomal RNA is filed under the name uncultured bacterium. RNAcentral's name for it is "SSU rRNA". It matches the Rfam family "Bacterial small subunit ribosomal RNA", at positions 26 to 518 of the family's 1533-position model. The record is from RNAcentral.